Molecule: long non-coding RNA, 986 nt
Filed under: Nicotiana benthamiana
Lineage: Eukaryota; Viridiplantae; Streptophyta; Magnoliopsida; Solanales; Solanaceae
Description: long non-coding RNA (NBEN_LNC037954)
Source: RNAcentral
CAAAGGGAAUACGUGUUGACUCGUCCAAUUAUGAUCCUUUUGUUGGGUGGACUCAUGGAGCUCAAAUGGUAGCAUUUAAUAUGCAGGUUGGUCUUCUGUCUCUGAUACUGUGGAAAACAAACUAGAACUGGGUAUUAUGAAGCUAGAUUGAAAGAAUACUCGUGUGAUUUUAGUUCUCCUCUCCUUGUUGAUCAUUGCUUGUCUCCGAUCCUGUAGAAAACAAACUAGAACUGGGCAUUAUGAAGCUAGAUUGAAAGAAUAAAUUCUCAUGUGAUUUUAGUUCUCCUCUCCUUGGUUUAUCAUUGCUGGUAUUACAUUAAUAUAGAUUCCAAACAUGGCCUUUUCCCUCUUGAAGAUUAUUUUCCUAUUAUCUCGAUGAAACAUUUGAUUCUUAGAGGAAAACGGUGGUAGUGAUCCUUCCUUAUUUUUUCCGAAGUGUAAUAAUAUUAUAAUAACUACGUAUAAUUUUAUUUUAUAGUCGUUUUAUUUCUUACCAGUAAUUCAAAUAGCUAUGUUGUGUGGAUCUAGAACUUAGACGUUGUGGGUGUUGAUUGAGAGAGCAGGUCCUCCAAAGUAUGUGUAACUUUAUAUGUACUUGUUUUUUCCGAAGUGUAAUAAUAUUAUAAUAACUACGUAUAAUUUUAUUUUUAGUCGUUCUAUUUCUUACCAGUAAUUCAAAUAGCUAUGUUGUGUGGAUCUAGAACUUACACGUUGUGAGUGUUGAUUGAGAGAGUAGGUCCUCCAAUGUAUGUGUAACUUUAUAUGUACUUGUUUUUUGUACAUAUAUGUAAGCUUUGACCACGAAGCACUAGGUUUUACUGAACCUGCAAACCUAUUAUUGAAUCUGCCACUCUCUCCAUCCUUCUAAUUUUUUAGCCGAUAAAAGAAAUCUUUGAUUAAAAUUCUUUGGAUUAUGUUGAAGGCUGUAACACAUGAAUUAUGACCUGAUUGGUGUUGUCAUUCAUCCUGUAUUCCUUUUAGUAAUU